Molecule: transfer RNA, 79 nt
Filed under: Microvirga sp. KLBC 81
Lineage: Bacteria; Pseudomonadati; Pseudomonadota; Alphaproteobacteria; Hyphomicrobiales; Methylobacteriaceae
Description: tRNA-Ala
Source: RNAcentral
GCGGGUAAAUCAGGGGAAUCGAUGGACGACUGCAAUCGCACUGCAGAGGUCAGGGGUUCGAAUCCCCUCAGCUCCACCA